GUACGUCGGGAAAUGUACGGUA
This 22-nucleotide microRNA is filed under the name Bombyx mori (domestic silkworm). RNAcentral describes it as "bmo-miR-2762". The record is from miRBase by way of RNAcentral. Lineage: Eukaryota; Metazoa; Arthropoda; Insecta; Lepidoptera; Bombycidae.